GCAACCUGAUCCAGCAUGCCGCGUGUGUGAAGAAGGCCUUCGGGUUGUAAAGCACUUUUGUCCGGAAAGAAAUCCUUGGUCCUAAUAUGGCCGGGGGAUGACGGUACCGGAAGAAUAAGCACCGGCUAACUACGUGCCAGCAGCCGCGGUAAUACGUAGGGUGCAAGCGUUAAUCGGAAUUACUGGGCGUAAAGCGUGCGCAGGCGGUUUGCUAAGACCGAUGUGAAAUCCCCGGGCUCAACCUGGGAACUGCAUUGGUGACUGGCAGGCUAGAGUAUGGCAGAGGGGGGUAGAAUUCCACGUGUAGCAGUGAAAUGCGUAGAGAUGUGGAGGAAUACCGAUGGCGAAGGCAGCCCCCUGGGCCAAUACUGACGCUCAUGCACGAAAGCGUGGGGAGCAAACAGGAUUAGAUACCCUGGUAGUCCACGCCCUAAACGAUGUCAACUAGUUGUUGGGGAUUCAUUUCCUUAGUAACGUAGCUAACGCGUGAAGUUGACCGCCUGGGGAGUACGGUCGCAAGAUUAAAACUCAAAGGAAUUGACGG
RNAcentral lists this ribosomal RNA (544 nucleotides) under Burkholderia cepacia. RNAcentral's name for it is "bacterial SSU rRNA". It matches the Rfam family "Bacterial small subunit ribosomal RNA", at positions 378 to 916 of the family's 1533-position model. The record is from RNAcentral. Lineage: Bacteria; Pseudomonadati; Pseudomonadota; Betaproteobacteria; Burkholderiales; Burkholderiaceae.